This 1510-nucleotide ribosomal RNA is filed under the name metagenome. RNAcentral describes it as "bacterial SSU rRNA". It matches the Rfam family "Bacterial small subunit ribosomal RNA". The record is from RNAcentral.
AGAGUUUGAUCCUGGUUUAGAAUGAACGCUGGCGGCGUGCUUAACACAUGCAAGUUGAAUGAGAAAGCUCCUUUGGGAGCAAGUAUAGUGGCGAACGGGUGAGUAACGCGUGAGAAUUUGCCCUUUAGUGAGGAAUAUCCUCGAGAAAUUGAGGUUAAUACCGUAUAAGCUAGUUUCUAUUUUUAUAGAAAUUGGGAAAGACGGCUUUUUGCUGUCGCUGAAGGAUGAGCUUGCGUAGUAUUAGUUAGUUGGUGGGGUAAAGGUUUACUAAGGUGAUGAUGCUUAGCCGACCUGAGAGGGUGAUUGGCCACAUUGGGAUUGAGAUAUGGCCCAGACUCCUAUGGGAGGUAGUAGUGGGGAAUAUUGUACAAUGGGGGAAACCCUGAUGCAGCGACGCCGCGUGGAGGAUGAAGGUUUUUGGAUCGUAAACUCCUGUUGAGAAGGAAGAAAAGCUUUUGGUUAAUAUUUAAAAGUUUUGAUGGUACUUCUUAAGAAAGCCCCGGUUAAUUUUGUGCCAGUAGUUGUGGUAAUAUGAGGGGGGCAAGCGUUAUUCGGAAUUACUGGGCGUAAAGAGCGUGAAUGGUGGUAUAGUAAGUUAGUUGUUAAAGAUCACGGUUUAUUUGUGAAAGUGUGAUUGAAACUGUUAAGUUAGAGGGCAGGAGAGAGAAGUGGAAUUCUCGGAGUAGUGGUUAAAUGUGUAGAUUUCGAGAGGAACACUGAUUGCGAAGGCAGUUUCUUGGCCUGUUCCUGACACUCAAACGCGAAAGCGUGGGGAGUAAACAGGAUUAGAUAUCUUGGUAGUCCACGCAGUAAAUGAUGAUCACUAGAUGUAGGUUGGGUUUAACCCGAUCUGUGUCGAAGUUAAUGUGUUAAGUGAUCCGCCUGGGGAUUACGAUCGUAAGGUUAAAACUCAAAGGAAUUGAUGGGGGUCCGCACAAGCGGUGGAACAUGUGGUUUAAUUCGAUAUUAUGCGAGGAACCUUACCUAGGUUUGUAUGUAACUGCUAGCUGCAGAAAUGCAGUGUUUUGGGUUUAUUUAGAUGGUUACACAGGUGCUGCAUGGCUGUCGUCAGCUCGUGUUGUGAGAUGUUAGGUUAAGUUUUUUAAUGAGUGUAACCCCUAUCGUUAGUUGUAAGCCCUUUGGGGUGUAUUCUAGCGAAACUGCCUGGGAAACCAGGAGGAAGGUGGGGAUGAGGUCAAGUCAUCAUGGUCCUUAUGCCUAGGGUUAUAUACGUGUUACAAUGGCGAGUAUAAAGGGUUGCAAUCCGGUGACGGUGAGCUAAUCUUAUAAAACUCGUCUAAGUUCGGAUUGAAGUCUGUAAUUUGACUUCAUGAAGUUGAAAUCGCUAGUAAUCGCGUAUUAGAAUGACGCGGUGAAUACGUUCUCGGACCUUGUAUAUACUGCUUGUUACACCACGAAAAUCGUUUCUACCUAAAGUUGUCUUAGCUGACUGUAAGGAGGCGGACACCUAAGGUAGGGGGGGUAAUUGGGGUGAAGUUGUAACAAGGUA